GAUGAAGAACGCAGCGAAAUGCGAUACGUAAUGUGAAUUGCAGAAUUCAGUGAAUCAUCGAGUCUUUGAACGCACAUUGCGCCCCCUGGUAUUCCGGGGGGCAUGCCUGUCCGAGCGUCAUUGCUGCCCUCAAGCACGGCUUGUGUGUUGGGCCUCCGUCCUCCUCCCGGGGGACGGGCCCGAAAGGCAGCGGCGGCACCGCGUCCGGUCCUCGAGCGUAUGGGGCUUCGUCACCCGCUCUUGUAGGCCCGGCCGGCGCUUGCCGACACAUCAAUCUUUUUUCCAGGUUGACCUCGGAUCAGGUAGGGAUACCCUCUGAACUUAAGCAUAUCAAUAAGCGGAGGA
RNAcentral lists this unclassified non-coding RNA (345 nucleotides) under soil metagenome. RNAcentral's name for it is "partial contains 5.8S ribosomal RNA, internal transcribed spacer 2, and large subunit ribosomal RNA". The stretch from base 1 to 120 matches the Rfam family "5.8S ribosomal RNA", at positions 35 to 154 of the family's 154-position model. The record is from RNAcentral.